Molecule: long non-coding RNA, 232 nt
Filed under: Setaria viridis
Lineage: Eukaryota; Viridiplantae; Streptophyta; Magnoliopsida; Poales; Poaceae
Description: long non-coding RNA (SVIR_LNC010578)
Source: RNAcentral
UGGACUCGAUGGCAUGAAUCCAAGCGUCGGUGUCGAGCGGAUCCUCCGUCUUGUGGAACAAAGGAGGCUGUGUCCCCAAAAAGUCCUCAUAGCGAGCAACAUGAGGUUGCUGAGGAGCUCUUCCUCCCUGGGGCUGCCGCUGCUACUGGGAAUAGAGCCGGAGCAUGUGCUGUGCACCAUCUGCAAGAUUCAUCUUCCCAUUAGUCACAGAAUUCAAAAGCUUGCUUAAUCA